RNAcentral lists this ribosomal RNA (253 nucleotides) under uncultured bacterium. RNAcentral describes it as "partial 16S ribosomal RNA". It matches the Rfam family "Bacterial small subunit ribosomal RNA", at positions 524 to 776 of the family's 1533-position model. The record is from RNAcentral.
UACGAAGGGGACUAGCGUUGUUCGGAAUCACUGGGCGUAAAGCGCACGUAGGCGGAUAUGUCAGUCAGGGGUGAAAUCCCGGGGCUCAACCUCGGAACUGCCUUUGAUACAGUAUAUCUUGAGUCCGAUAGAGGUGGGUGGAAUUCCUAGUGUAGAGGUGAAAUUCGUAGAUAUUAGGAAGAACACCGGUGGCGAAGGCGGCAUCCUGGACCAAUUCUGACGCUGAGGAGCGAAAGCCAGGGGAGCAAACGGG